UCCUUGUUAGUACAAUGGCUAGUAUAGGGCACUCUCACACUCCCCCACAGGGAGAGUAGCUGCUCAGAUCGGGGUUCAAUUCCCCGGCAGGGAA
Non-coding RNA from Violaceomyces palustris, 94 nucleotides. NCBI's taxonomy places the organism in Eukaryota, Fungi, Basidiomycota, Ustilaginomycetes, Violaceomycetales, Violaceomycetaceae. The record is from the annotation of a GenBank genome assembly.